GACGAACGCUGGCGGCGUGCCUAAUACAUGCAAGUAGAACGCACAGUUUAUACCGUAGCUUGCUACACCAUAGACUGUGAGUUGCGAACGGGUGAGUAACGCGUAGGUAACCUGCCUGGUAGCGGGGGAUAACUAUUGGAAACGAUAGCUAAUACCGCAUAAUAUUAAUUAUUGCAUGAUAAUUAAUUGAAAGGUGCAAUUGCACCACUACCAGAUGGACCUGCGUUGUAUUAGCUAGUAGGUGAGGUAACGGCUCACCUAGGCGACGAUACAUAGCCGACCUGGGAGGGUGGUCGGCCACACUGGGACUGAGACACGGCCCAGACGCCUACGGGAGGCAGCAGUAGGGAAUCUUCGGCAAUGGACGAAAGUCUGACCGAGCAACGCCGCGUGAGUGAAGAAGGGUUUCGGAUCGUAAAGCUCGGUUGUAAGAGAAGAACGGGUGUGAGAGUGGAAAGUUCACACUGUGACGGUAUCUUACCAGAAAGGGACGGCUAACUACGUG
This 505-nucleotide ribosomal RNA is filed under the name uncultured bacterium. RNAcentral's name for it is "partial 16S ribosomal RNA". It matches the Rfam family "Bacterial small subunit ribosomal RNA", at positions 28 to 507 of the family's 1533-position model. The record is from RNAcentral.